Molecule: ribosomal RNA, 464 nt
Filed under: uncultured bacterium
Lineage: Bacteria
Description: bacterial SSU rRNA
Rfam family: Bacterial small subunit ribosomal RNA
Source: RNAcentral
UCCAGACUCCUACGGGAGGCAGCAGUGAGGAAUAUUGGUCAAUGGUCGGGAGACUGAACCAGCCAAGCCGCGUGAGGGAGGAAGGUACAGAGUAUCGUAAACCUCUUUUGUCAGGGAACAAAGGCGGGGACGUGUCCCCGGAUGAGUGUACCUGAAGAAAAAGCAUCGGCUAACUCCGUGCCAGCAGCCGCGGUAAUACGGAGGAUGCGAGCGUUAUCCGGAUUUACUGGGCGUAAAACGAGCGCAGGCGGGUUAACAAGUUUGGUAUGAAAGGCUUUUGCUUAACGAAAGUUUGUAUCAAAAACUGUUAAUCUAGAGUGUAGUAGAGAGUUCUGGAAUUCCAUGUGGAGCGGUGGAAUGCGUAGAUAUAUGGAAGAACACCAGUGGCGAAGGCGAGAACUUAGGCUAUCACUGACGCUUAGGCUCGAAAGUGUGGGGAGCAAAUAGGAUUAGAUACCCCUGUA